UUUUUUUUUUUAGAGACAAGGUCUCGCUCUGUCACCCAGGCUGGAGUGCAGUGGCACAAUCACUACAGUCUCAACCUCCUGGGCUCAAGCGAUCCUCCAGUCUUAGCCUCUUGAGUAGCUGGAAUUACAGGGUUUUAGAAGUGACGUCCAAUGGAACACAGAGUCUGAGGGUGAACGGAGGGGAUACACACACGUGUGACCAGAGAGGCUGCCGUCUGCUUGUGUGUAGCAUUCACGAUGCCCAUGAACACGGAAUUCCUAGGGAACACCCAGCAGCAGGAGUUUAGCGGGAUCUCCAGGUGACAGCAAGGGGCAGCGCCCACUGCGGGGGUCACAGGUGUCCAGGCUGCCAGCGGGAUUGCAGGUGCAGGGUCUGCCAAAGAGACAGGAUAAGGGGAAAACGUGCAAUGAGCAACUUCAGAAUGGCAACAGCCCAUCCUAGGAAGGGAGCUUUCCCUGCUGCCAACAUCAGGAGUGAGGCUGACGCAGGUAACUGACCUGGCUUUACUGUUCCCAUCUUGCCAAGGAAGUGACCCAUCCAUCACUGGUACAGUGGUCCAUCUUCCCACCCACCACACAUCCAUCCAGGAUCCUUCCAUCUGUCAUCCACGCACUCACUCAUCAUCCAUGAAUCUUUCUUUUUUUGGGGGGGGGGGACAGAGUCACACUUUGCCACCCAGGCUGGAGUGCAGUGUCAUGAUCUUGGCUCACUGCAACCUCUGCCUCCUGGGUUCAAGUGAUUCUCCUGUCUCAGCCUCCUGAGUAGCCAGGACUACAGGCAUGCAUCACCAUGGUCCAGCUAAUUUUUGUAUUUUUAGUAGAGACAGCGUUUCACCAUGUUGGCUAGACUGGUCUUUAACUCGUGACCUCAGGUGAUCCACCUGCCUUGGCCUCCCAAAGUGCCAGGAUUACAUACAUGAGCCACCGUGCUCGGCCUCCAUGAAUCUUUCUGUCUAUCCCCUCACUCCUCCAUCCACUUAUUCAUCCUUCCUUCUUUCUGUCCAGCAGCCACCUAUCCACCCAUUCAUUCACCCAUCCAUGCAUCUUCCCACCCCUCCCUCCAUCCAUCCACUCAUCCAAUAAGACAUGGUUCCUCCCUGGUGAAUCCCAGUCUGGUGUAGACAGACAGAUCACGCAGACCCUGUACCGUGAUACGUGUUGUGGGAGAUGUACGAGACGCUGUGCCUGCACUGUGGGGCCUCUGACUCAGCCUGCGUGUGCAGGCGAGGGGCAGGUGGGAGGGAAGGUGUCCCGAGAGGGGAGGCUGCUCAGCUGAGACCUGAAGAAUGAGCAGGGGGCUGUGAGCCACAGGCUGGGGAGAGGGGGCAGAGGUGGGAGGUGUGGCACCUGCAAAGGUCCAGAGGCCAGAGGGACCCCAGGGAAGCAGCCAGGCCCCAUCUCAUGGUCAGUUUUAUGCCCAGAACCACCAAAUAUUUUACAAGGAACCAGAGCUCUCCUAGAUAUCCCCAAUGUGUUUCUGCUGCCUUUCAAAUAUACAAAGAUGCCCGUUAUCAACCAAAGCAAGUUCACUUAAAAGUGCUUCUGGGCCGGGCGCGGUGACUCGCGUCUGUAAUCAGCACUUUGGGAAGCCGAGGAGGGUGGAUUACUUGAGCCCAGGAGCUUGAGACCAGCCUGGGCAACAUGGCAAAACCCCAUCUCUACCAAAAAAUACAAAAAUUAGCCGGGUGUGGUGGCGCACAUUUGUAAUCUCAGCUACUCGGGAGGCUGAG
Molecule: long non-coding RNA, 1730 nt
Organism: Gorilla gorilla gorilla (western lowland gorilla)
Lineage: Eukaryota; Metazoa; Chordata; Mammalia; Primates; Hominidae
Exons: 3
Source: RefSeq, a predicted model, not a curated record